This 73-nucleotide transfer RNA is filed under the name Ovis aries (sheep). It matches the Rfam family "tRNA". Rfam says of the family: Transfer RNA (tRNA) molecules are approximately 80 nucleotides in length. Their secondary structure includes four short double-helical elements and three loops (D, anti-codon, and T loops). Further hydrogen bonds mediate the characteristic L-shaped molecular structure. tRNAs have two regions of fundamental functional importance: the anti-codon, which is responsible for specific mRNA codon recognition, and the 3' end, to which the tRNAs corresponding amino acid is attached (by aminoacyl-tRNA synthetases). tRNAs cope with the degeneracy of the genetic code in two manners: having more than one tRNA (with a specific anti-codon) for a particular amino acid; and 'wobble' base-pairing, i.e. permitting non-standard base-pairing at the 3rd anti-codon position. The record is from Rfam by way of RNAcentral. Lineage: Eukaryota; Metazoa; Chordata; Mammalia; Artiodactyla; Bovidae.
UCCCUGGUGGCUCAGACAGUAAAAUCAUCUGCCUACAAUGCAGGAGAUCCAGGUUCGAUCCCUGGGUUGGGAA